RNAcentral lists this ribosomal RNA (254 nucleotides) under uncultured bacterium. Its description in RNAcentral is "partial 16S ribosomal RNA". It matches the Rfam family "Bacterial small subunit ribosomal RNA", at positions 524 to 776 of the family's 1533-position model. The record is from RNAcentral.
UACGUAGGGUGCGAGCGUUAAUCGGAAUUACUGGGCGUAAAGCGUGCGCAGGCGGUUUUGUAAGUCUGUCGUGAAAGCCCCGGGCUUAACCUGGGAAUUGCGAUGGAGACUGCAAGGCUUGAAUCUGGCAGAGGGGGGUAGAAUUCCACGUGUAGCAGGUGAAAUGCGUAGAGAUGUGGAGGAACACCGAUGGCGAAGGCAGCCCCCUGGGUCAAGAUUGACGCUCAUGCACGAAAGCGUGGGGAGCAAACAGG